Peromyscus californicus insignis is the source of this 1044-nucleotide long non-coding RNA. RefSeq lists it as uncharacterized. The transcript is spliced from 2 exons. The record is from RefSeq and is a predicted model, not a curated record. Lineage: Eukaryota; Metazoa; Chordata; Mammalia; Rodentia; Cricetidae.
GCGUCCUUAGGCGUUGAGCUCCGGGCAGGGGUCCGCCUACCAACAAGGCAGCCAAUGGGCACCGAGCGCGGGAAGCCUGGGGCGGGGCCUGGCCGGCGGGUCUCCCAAGUCGUCCAGGGCUCGGGGAAGCCGCACGGAAUUUCAGGCUGGAGCUGACUAGCAGAGAAAGAAGAUCUGUAUGAGAGACAGGCUUCUGACCUGGAGGGCGCUUUCCUUUUUCGACAAAUAGGUCUUGACUGCGUGAUGGUUCAUACUCCACAGGAUCUAGAAUCACCCAGGAGACCAACCUCUGGGCACAUCUGGGAGGGAGUUUCUAGACUAGCCACAUGAGGUGAAGAAUGCCCUGCUGCUGUGGUGUGCUGGCGUGGUGUGCUGCCCCAGCACCUGGAGUCCAGGAACCAUGGACUGAAGCUCCUGAAACCCUGACCCCGAACAAACCUGUCCUCUUCUGAGUUGUUAGUUGGGUUCUUUCCCACAGUAACAAAGAAAAAUCAAAACAGUAGCCAUCGAGCAAUGCAAAUCAAAACUGUAUCGCCCACAGUGCGAUGUAUAUCAUUUUAAAGAUGCAUAAUAUGUAAUAAAAAGGUAACAAUGUCAUAGUGUAUUUAAUUUAGAAAAUAUUGUAUCAAGUGUCAAGUGUUAUGGACUGAGUUGUAUCCUCUAACAUUAGAUAUUGAAGCUUUAACCCCUGUCAUGUGACUGUAUUUGAGAAAAGGUAUUAAGAGAGGUAAUUAAGGUUAAAUGACAUCAUAAAGGCAGACUCCCAACCCAAUAUAACAGCUGUCCUUAUGAGAGGAAGAAGAGAUAGGCAUAUGUGCACACAAAGAGAAGGCCAUGUGAUGUGAGGGUCGGCACAGUGGUGCACACCUGUAAACCCAUCUUCAGAGAGGCUGAGACAGAAAGAUUGCCAUGAGUGUGAGAUAAAUAGGGAGACCAUCAUUCAAACAAACAAACAAACAAAUGAAACCAUAUCAUCUGCUGACAACUAUCUUGAAUUUCUACCCUCUAGACCUGUGAGAAAAUAAAGUUCUCAUGUUUAAGCCA